GUGCCUAAUACAUGCAAGUCGAGCGAACAGAUGAGAAGCUUGCUUCUCUGAUGUUAGCGGCGGACGGGUGAGUAACACGUGGGUAACCUACCUAUAAGACUGGGAUAACUCCGGGAAACCGGGGCUAAUACCGGAUAAUAUUUUGAACCGCAUGGUUCAAUAGUGAAAGACGGUUUCGGCUGUCACUUAUAGAUGGACCCGCGCCGUAUUAGCUAGUUGGUAAGGUAAUGGCUUACCAAGGCGACGAUACGUAGCCGACCUGAGAGGGUGAUCGGCCACACUGGAACUGAGACACGGUCCAGACUCCUACGGGAGGCAGCAGUAGGGAAUCUUCCGCAAUGGGCGAAAGCCUGACGGAGCAACGCCGCGUGAGUGAUGAAGGUCUUCGGAUCGUAAAACUCUGUUGUUAGGGAAGAACAAAUUUGUUAGUAACUGAACAAGUCUUGACGGUACCUAACCAGAAAGCCACGGCUAACUACGUGCCAGCAGCCGCGGUAAUACGUAGGUGGCAAGCGUUAUCCGGAAUUAUUGGGCGUAAAGCGCGCGUAGGCGGUUUCUUAAGUCUGAUGUGAAAGCCCACGGCUCAACCGUGGAGGGUCAUUGGAAACUGGGAAACUUGAGUGCAGAAGAGGAGAGUGGAAUUCCAUGUGUAGCGGUGAAAUGCGCAGAGAUAUGGAGGAACACCAGUGGCGAAGGCGGCUCUCUGGUCUGUAACUGACGCUGAUGUGCGAAAGCGUGGGGAUCAAACAGGAUUAGAUACCCUGGUAGUCCACGCCGUAAACGAUGAGUGCUAAGUGUUAGGGGGGUUUCCGCCCCUUAGUGCUGCAGCUAACGCAUUAAGCACUCCGCCUGGGGAGUACGACCGCAAGGUUGAAACUCAAAUGAAUUGACGG
Molecule: ribosomal RNA, 893 nt
Filed under: uncultured Staphylococcus sp.
Lineage: Bacteria; Bacillati; Bacillota; Bacilli; Caryophanales; Staphylococcaceae
Description: bacterial SSU rRNA
Rfam family: Bacterial small subunit ribosomal RNA
Source: RNAcentral